Molecule: long non-coding RNA, 1934 nt
Filed under: Pan troglodytes (chimpanzee)
Lineage: Eukaryota; Metazoa; Chordata; Mammalia; Primates; Hominidae
Description: long non-coding RNA NONPTRT011982
Source: RNAcentral
GGUGGAUCUGAGGUCAACAGUUCGAGACCAGCCUGGCCAAUAUGGUGAAACCCUAUCUCUACUAAAAAUACAAAAAUUAGGUCAGGCGUGGUGGCUCAUGCCUGUAAUCCCAGCAUUUUGGGAGGCUGAGGCGGGGGAAUCACCUGAGGUCAGGAGUUUGAGACCAGCUUGGCCAACAUGGUGAAACUCCAUCUUUACUAAAAAUACAAAAAUUAGCGGGUUGUGGUAGUGGGCACCUGUAAUCCCAGCUACUUGGGAGGCUGAGGCAAGAGAAUCUCUUGAACCCGGGAGGUGGAGGUUGUAGUGAGCCGAGAUCGUGCUAUUGCACUCCGGCCUCCACAACGAGAGCGUAUCUUUGUCUCAAAAAAAAGUACAAAAAUUAGCCGGACAUGGUGGCACACGCCUGUAGUCGCAGCUACUUGGGCAGCUGAGGCAGGAGAAUUGCUUGAACCCAGGAGGCAGAGGUUGCAGUGAGCCAAGAUCAUGCCACUGACUCCAGCCUGGGUGACAGAGCUAAAAAAAAAAAAAAAGAUAAAACAUAGAUACAGAAAACCACAAAGGAAAAGCAUAGCAUAUUGAAUCAUCACAAGGCAGCCACCCCUUCAUAGCCACACCUGGCCCCUGGCCACCACUGACCUGUGCUCCAUCGCCAGAAUUCCAUUGUCUCAAGAAUGUUCGAUGAAUGGAAUCCUGUGUGGCCUGAGAUGAGUGUCUUUCAUGCCGCGUGACACCCUUGAGGCCCGUGCAAGCUGUUGGUAUGUAAACAGUCAGCUGCUUCUCAUUGCUGAGUGGCGAUUGGUCCUGUCAUGGUUUAUUCAGCCAUGUGGUGGAUGGCUACUUGUCUUCUAAGCCACUUGUUUUCUUAUUGCUGGACUUACUGUCUCACGCUCUCUUGGUGCAGCCCUCGGAAGGCUUGGUCACACUCUCCGAGAGCACAGCCAUCAUCUCCCACGGUACCACAGGCCUGGUCACAUGGGAUGCCACCUGCUACCUUGCAGAAUGGGCCAUCGAGAACCCGGCAGCCUUCACUAACAGGAAUGUCCUAGAGCUUGGCAGUGGCACCGGCCUCACAGGCCUGUCCAUCUGCAAGAUGUGCCACCCCUGGGCAUACAUCUUCAGCGACAGUCACAGCCGGGUCCUAGAGCAGCUCCGAGGGAAUGUCCUUCUCAAUGGCCUCUCAUUAGAGGCAGACAUCACUGCCAACUUAGCCCCAGGGUGACAGUGACCCAGCUGGACUGGGACGUAGCGACAGUCCAUCAGCUCUCUGCCUUCCAGCCAGAUGUUGUCAUUGCAGCAGACGUGCUGUAUUGCCCAGAAGCCAUCGUGUCGCUGGUCGGGGUCCUGCGGAGGCUGGCUGCCUGCCGGGAGCACCAGCGGGCUCCUGAGGUCUACAUGGCCUUUACCGUCCACAACCCAGAGACAUGCCAGCUGUUCACCACCGAGCUAGGCUGGGCUGGGAUCAGAUGGGAAGCGGAAGCUCAUCAUGACCAGAAACUGUUUCCCUAUGGAGAGCACUUGGAGAUGGCAGUGCUGAACCUCACACUGUAGGACUCACACACGACUCCAAUGGGAUUGUGAGAAUCAAGUCACUCUCGUGGGAAGAAUUUUUAUAUGGGAAAGCGGAUAAAACUUUCAUUGGACUGGAAUGUUUGGAGAAUGUUAAAUUCCAAAUCAGGAACCACAAACUGCCCUCUAAUAAGACAUCGGCUAUCUAAGCGUGUGGGUGCCCCCUUUCUGCCAGCAGUUCUGGUUCUUAAGAAAAUCACCAUAAAUCAGACAUGAAAAUUCUGGCUCCAAAAAUAGCAUUUUCUUUGUGCAAAUAAAAACGUGUGUAUCUAAUAUGACGUUCCCCCAACGUGGACACACUCGGUUCCUCACAAAGCCAAGCCCGCUGCAGCUGCCACAUCCCUGGACACACUCGGUUCCUCACAAAG